GCCGGGCAUGGUGGCGCGUGCCUGUAAUCCCAGCUACUAGGGAGACUGAGGCAUGAGAAUCACUUGAACCCAGGAGUCGAGGUUGCAGGGAGCUGAGAUCGUGCCACUGCACUCCAACCUGGGUGACACAGUGAGACUAUGUCUCAA
RNAcentral lists this non-coding RNA (147 nucleotides) under Homo sapiens (human). Lineage: Eukaryota; Metazoa; Chordata; Mammalia; Primates; Hominidae. The record is from Rfam by way of RNAcentral.